Hirundo rustica (Barn swallow) is the source of this 790-nucleotide long non-coding RNA. RefSeq lists it as uncharacterized. The record is from RefSeq and is a predicted model, not a curated record. The transcript has 3 exons. NCBI's taxonomy places the organism in Eukaryota, Metazoa, Chordata, Aves, Passeriformes, Hirundinidae.
UUCUCAAGACCCUCUGGUAUUGAGCUGUAGGGUGUGUGGAAUGGGGUAUCUCUAGCCCUCUAACUGGACUUCUUCAGCAUUUUAGAAGCACACUCUUAAGUUCAGAAGCAUCUGGAAGCCUGACUGCUGCUCUUCCCUCGAGCAAGCAUCCUAACAUGCCCUCUGCAUGCUUUCCCUUUUGGUCUCUACUGCUUGCAUGUUGCAAAGGAGCCACUGGGUAAGGGAAGCCUGGGGACGUGAGGGAAGUGAACAACCUUUUGACUGAUCUGCGUCUGUUUGAGAAAUGCUGCUUGAAUCUCACCAGUGACUGAUCAGUUAUUAAAACCAGGCCAGAACAAGGCAGUAUUUCUGUGCUGAAAAUGACACUGGAGACAGCUUGGCCUGUGCCAGCCAGCCAGGACUUGGAAGAAUAUGCUCAGGCUGUGAGUUUCAAACCUGGCUCUCACAGAAGAGUUGUCAUGCCACUGGCAGCGGAGUGCACUGGUGUAAGGGUGGCUGUAUCUCAGGCUGCAGCAGAAAGUGGGCACAGGGGUGAGCUGUGGCUGAUGUCUCAGCCCAGUCUUGGAGCCACCUGCCUCUCUCCCUGCUGUCUCUGAAUAUUGUUUCUUGAGUCUUUUUUCUCUGGAUCUCAGUGAGGAUCAGACAGGCCAAGGCUGACCAGGACUGAACUAGAUCUUUUCCACCUCUCACCCCAGUGAUUCUUUCUGUUUUAAAAUGAACACAAGAACCACCAGUACUACAGCUGCAAGUUCAGUGGUGAGAACAUAAACAAGGACAGGUAAUUCUCAGU